This 253-nucleotide ribosomal RNA is filed under the name uncultured bacterium. RNAcentral's name for it is "partial 16S ribosomal RNA". It matches the Rfam family "Bacterial small subunit ribosomal RNA", at positions 524 to 776 of the family's 1533-position model. The record is from RNAcentral.
UACGAAGGGUGCAAGCGUUAUCCGGAUUCAUUGGGUUUAAAGGGUGCGUAGGCGGAGCGUUAAGUCAGUGGUGAAAUCCUGCAGCUCAACUGUAGACUUGCCAUUGAUACUGGCGUUCUUGAGUGCGCUUGAAGUAAGCGGAAUGUGCCGUGUAGCGGUGAAAUGCUUAGAUAUGACAUAGAACACCGAUAGCGUAGGCAGCUUGCUACACGAAUAUUGACACUGAGGCACGAAAGCGUGGGGAUCAAACAGG